AUUUAGACCAUGAGAAUAGAUAUUAUGCUACAAGCGCUUCACCUGUUCUAUUUCUCACUUUCAGGACAACACAUAAAAAAAAAAAAAUGUUUCAGUCACCAAGCUACAUAUAUGGAGGAAAAAAACUAAGGGGAAUAGUGAGGAGAAAACAGGAAGUAAAUCACAACAUUUUUUGUUUGAGGAGAUAAACUUUAAAUCUGUCUUAUUUGAUACAAGUACAAGAUCUUUCUUUUUUUUU
Molecule: non-coding RNA, 238 nt
Organism: Biomphalaria pfeifferi
Lineage: Eukaryota; Metazoa; Mollusca; Gastropoda; Planorbidae
Source: the annotation of a GenBank genome assembly